RNAcentral lists this ribosomal RNA (279 nucleotides) under Salmonella enterica subsp. enterica serovar Senftenberg str. 423984-1. RNAcentral's name for it is "partial 16S ribosomal RNA". It matches the Rfam family "Bacterial small subunit ribosomal RNA", at positions 1 to 276 of the family's 1533-position model. Lineage: Bacteria; Pseudomonadati; Pseudomonadota; Gammaproteobacteria; Enterobacterales; Enterobacteriaceae. The record is from RNAcentral.
AAAUUGAAGAGUUUGAUCAUGGCUCAGAUUGAACGCUGGCGGCAGGCCUAACACAUGCAAGUCGAACGGUAACAGGAAGCAGCUUGCUGCUUCGCUGACGAGUGGCGGACGGGUGAGUAAUGUCUGGGAAACUGCCUGAUGGAGGGGGAUAACUACUGGAAACGGUGGCUAAUACCGCAUAACGUCGCAAGACCAAAGAGGGGGACCUUCGGGCCUCUUGCCAUCAGAUGUGCCCAGAUGGGAUUAGCUUGUUGGUGAGGUAACGGCUCACCAAGGCAA